GACGAACGCUGGCGGCGUGCUUAACACAUGCAAGUCGAACGGAAAGGCCCUGCUUUUGUGGGGUGCUCGAGUGGCGAACGGGUGAGUAACACGUGAGUAACCUGCCCUUGACUUUGGGAUAACUUCAGGAAACUGGGGCUAAUACCGGAUAGGAGCUCCUGCUGCAUGGUGGGGGGUGGAAAGUUUCGGCGGUUGGGGAUGGACUCGCGGCUUAUCAGCUUGUUGGUGGGGUGGUGGCUUACCAAGGCUUUGACGGGUAGCCGGCCUGAGAGGGUGACCGGCCACAUUGGGACUGAGAUACGGCCCAGACUCCUACGGGAGGCAGCAGUGGGGAAUAUUGCACAAUGGGCGGAAGCCUGAUGCAGCAACGCCGCGUGCGGGAUGACGGCCUUCGGGUUGUAAACCGCUUUCGCCUGUGACGAAGCGUGAGUGACGGUAAUGGGUAAAGAAGCACCGGCUAACUACGUG
This 468-nucleotide ribosomal RNA is filed under the name uncultured bacterium. RNAcentral's name for it is "partial 16S ribosomal RNA". It matches the Rfam family "Bacterial small subunit ribosomal RNA", at positions 28 to 507 of the family's 1533-position model. The record is from RNAcentral.